RNAcentral lists this non-coding RNA (30 nucleotides) under Rattus norvegicus (Norway rat). The record is from RNAcentral. Lineage: Eukaryota; Metazoa; Chordata; Mammalia; Rodentia; Muridae.
UGCAGUCUUUGGAAAUAGUCCUGCUUUCUC